GCAGUAGCCGCGGGAAUACGAAGGGGGCUAGCGUUGUUCGGAUUUACUGGGCGUAAAGCGCACGUAGGCGGAUCGAUCAGUCAGGGGUGAAAUCCCAGAGCUCAACUCUGGAACUGCCUUUGAUACUGUCGAUCUGGAGUAUGGAAGAGGUGAGUGGAAUUCCGAGUGUAGAGGUGAAAUUCGUAGAUAUUCGGAGGAACACCAGUGGCGAAGGCGGCUCACUGGUCCAUUACUGACGCUGAGGUGCGAAAGCGUGGGGAGCAAACAGGAUUAGAUACCCGAGUAGUCCCUGUCUCUUAUAA
This 302-nucleotide ribosomal RNA is filed under the name uncultured bacterium. RNAcentral describes it as "partial 16S ribosomal RNA". It matches the Rfam family "Bacterial small subunit ribosomal RNA", at positions 508 to 809 of the family's 1533-position model. The record is from RNAcentral.